CUUAGGGACGACCUUCUGAUCGUGAUCCUGGCAUCCUGUAGACGCCAUUCUGGUAACGAUCUCGCUUUGUAGAAGAAACGUGACGUCAGUGUUUCUUUCAAGAAGAAGUUGUGAGGAAGAAGAAUUCUAUAUGUUUGUUUUAAAUAUCGUUUUAAAUAUAUUGUUUUAAACUCUUUGACAACGUGUCCCACGUGUUGAAUUCGCUCAUCACACUGUUGUCGACAUUAGCGUUGACUUAUCCAAUAUCGGAAAAUGGAACCAAACUAUAACGCCUCUUUUGGCGGGAGCUUUGAAUGUUAUUACUAUUAAAAUAAGUUAUCGGCAAUAAAUAUGUUUAA
Pogonomyrmex barbatus (red harvester ant) is the source of this 338-nucleotide long non-coding RNA. Lineage: Eukaryota; Metazoa; Arthropoda; Insecta; Hymenoptera; Formicidae. The record is from RefSeq and is a predicted model, not a curated record.